RNAcentral lists this small RNA (149 nucleotides) under Caenorhabditis brenneri. Its description in RNAcentral is "sRNA CBN34329". Lineage: Eukaryota; Metazoa; Nematoda; Chromadorea; Rhabditida; Rhabditidae. The record is from RNAcentral.
UAGCUCAAUUUUGAAGCGAGUUAUGCGCCUUUAAAGUUAGAAACGGGAAACUGAUAGAGUGCAGAGAAAGAGACAGUCGUUUUCUCUGGCGUCUCUCACUCUCUCAUCUCCAACUUCAAAGGCGCAUAACUCCCCUCAAAAUUAAGAUU